RNAcentral lists this transfer RNA (67 nucleotides) under uncultured Bullifex sp. It matches the Rfam family "tRNA". Rfam says of the family: Transfer RNA (tRNA) molecules are approximately 80 nucleotides in length. Their secondary structure includes four short double-helical elements and three loops (D, anti-codon, and T loops). The record is from RNAcentral. Lineage: Bacteria; Pseudomonadati; Spirochaetota; Spirochaetia; Spirochaetales; Spirochaetaceae.
CGGUAUAGCUCAGGGGUAGAGCGGCUCACUCGUAAUGAGCAGGUCAAGGGUUCAAUUCCCUUUCCCG